Molecule: ribosomal RNA, 497 nt
Filed under: uncultured bacterium
Lineage: Bacteria
Description: partial 16S ribosomal RNA
Rfam family: Bacterial small subunit ribosomal RNA
Source: RNAcentral
GCUGAACUCUUUCUUCUUUCCUAAUACAUGCAAGUCGAGCGAACAGACGAGGAGCUUGCUCCUCUGACGUUAGCGGCGGACGGGUGAGUAACACGUGGAUAACCUACCUAUAAGACUGGGAUAACUUCGGGAAACCGGAGCUAAUACCGGAUAAUAUAUUGAACCGCAUGGUUCAAUAGUGAAAGACGGUUUUGCUGUCACUUAUAGAUGGAUCCGCGCCGCAUUAGCUAGUUGGUAAGGUAACGGCUUACCAAGGCGACGAUGCGUAGCCGACCUGAGAGGGUGAUCGGCCACACUGGAACUGAGACACGGUCCAGACUCCUACGGGAGGCAGCAGUAGGGAAUCUUCCGCAAUGGGCGAAAGCCUGACGGAGCAACGCCGCGUGAGUGAUGAAGGUCUUCGGAUCGUAAAACUCUGUUAUUAGGGAAGAACAAAUGUGUAAGUAACUAUGCACGUCUUGACGGUACCUAAUCAGAAAGCCACGGCUAACUACGUG